This 427-nucleotide ribosomal RNA is filed under the name uncultured bacterium. RNAcentral describes it as "bacterial SSU rRNA". It matches the Rfam family "Bacterial small subunit ribosomal RNA", at positions 354 to 796 of the family's 1533-position model. The record is from RNAcentral.
GUGAGGAAUCUUCCGCAAUGGGCGAAAGCCUGACGGAGCGACACCGCGUGGAGGAUGAAGGUCUUUUGAUUGUAAACUCCUUUUCUGGGGGAAUAACUGAUGAAGGUACCCCAGGAAUAAGCACCGGCAAACUACGUGCCAGCAGCCGCGGUAAUACGUAGGGUGCAAGCGUUAUCCGGAAUUAUUGGGCGUAAAGCGUUCGAAGGCUGUUUGACAAGUUUGGGGUUAAAUCCGGUCGCUCAACGACCGAAACGUCUCAAAAACUAGCAAACUAGAGAAUGAUAGAGGCAACUAGAAUUCUGCAUGUAGGGGUAAAAUCCGUUGAUAUGCAGAGGAAUACCAAAAGCGAAAGCAGGUUGCUGGGUCAUUUCUGACGCUGUUGAACGAAAGCGUGGGGAGCAAACAGGAUUAGAAACCCGAGUAGUCC